Molecule: transfer RNA, 54 nt
Filed under: Plateros sp. UPOL A00512
Lineage: Eukaryota; Metazoa; Arthropoda; Insecta; Coleoptera; Lycidae
Description: partial tRNA-Ser
Source: RNAcentral
AUAAACAUAUUAAUGCUUUCUCGAAAGUUAGAAGCUUUCUUUAUGUAUUUCUUU